ACCCGCACAAGCGGUGGAUGAUGUGGAUUAAUUCGAUGCAACGCGUAAAACCUUACCUACCCUUGACAUGUCCGGAAUCCCGAAGAGAUUUGGGAGUGCUCGCAAGAGAGCCGGAACACAGGUGCUGCAUGGCUGUCGUCAGCUCGUGUCGUGAGAUGUUGGGUUAAGUCCCGCAACGAGCGCAACCCUUGUCAUUAGUUGCCAUCAUUUGGUUGGGCACUCUAAUGAGACUGCCGGUGACAAACCGGAGGAAGGUGGGGAUGACGUCAAGUCCUCAUGGCCCUUAUGGGUAGGGCUUCACACGUCAUACAAUGGUCGGUACAGAGGGUUGCCAACCCGCGAGGGGGGAGCUAAUCCCACAAAGCCGAUCGUAGUCCGGAUCGCAGUCUGCAACUCGACUGCGUGAAGUCGGAAUCGCUAGUAAUCGUGGAUCAGCAUGUCACGGUGAAUACGUUCCCGGGUCUU
RNAcentral lists this ribosomal RNA (465 nucleotides) under uncultured Rhodocyclaceae bacterium. RNAcentral describes it as "bacterial SSU rRNA". It matches the Rfam family "Bacterial small subunit ribosomal RNA", at positions 919 to 1382 of the family's 1533-position model. Lineage: Bacteria; Pseudomonadati; Pseudomonadota; Betaproteobacteria; Rhodocyclales; Rhodocyclaceae. The record is from RNAcentral.